Neofelis nebulosa (Clouded leopard) is the source of this 569-nucleotide long non-coding RNA. RefSeq lists it as uncharacterized. The transcript is spliced from 2 exons. The record is from RefSeq and is a predicted model, not a curated record. NCBI's taxonomy places the organism in Eukaryota, Metazoa, Chordata, Mammalia, Carnivora, Felidae.
AACGCGUCCACGCCAGCCAGCACAGCACUGGAGACCCCCAUGAGCAUGUUCACUGCUGCUAUUAACCCAAUUAACAGUUUUAUGGAGGAAAUGUACAGAGAGGCUCUGAACACUGUGGAAGUCACCAAGGCAUUGCAAGACACCAAGAGAGAGGCCAGUAACAGCUAGAGGUAACACACAGUUCCCUUGUGGCAUGCUCUACUUUCUUUAACUCCCGUAAAAACAUGAACACCAGGUGCUCAUAUUUUCAAGCUUGACACAGAGAAAUGGAGAUGGGGAAUUUAAAUCACUUGAUUAAGAUCCCUCAAAGAAUGCAGAGUUGGGGCCAGGUAAAAAGCCAGAUCUCCUGGGCUUUUCAUUAUAUUUUUCUCAGAAUGCUUCAAAAAGGUUCUGGAAGUAGAGAAAGAGGAUCCCAGGGAAAUACUCUAUAAUAUUAGAACAGGAAGCAAUGGUAGCAUGAAAAUGCAUUUCAUGAACAUUUCAUCUUAGGUUUGGCUUGAUGUUUGAUGACAUUUGAUGUUUGAGAGCCAGAGACAAUCUAGUUGUUGAAAAUAAAAUAUCAACCCUUC